GGGAAAGCCACCUAAAUACAAAUAAUUGAGUUUAGGGAGAAGACCUCAGCCAGAAAAGUGUUUAUUUAUUACAGUGUGUGUGUGUGUGUGUGUGUGUGUGUGGUGCAGGCAUGUGCACCACACAGCGCACGUUUAGAGGUCAUAGGGCAACUACAUCUUGAGUCCUCUGGGCCCUACGUAAUUAUCCGUUCUGGUUAAAGUUUACCACCACACCAUACCUUUAUGUGGUACUUUUUUGCGGGGGUGGCUAAUGAUGUGGAGACUUACUAUUAACUCUGAAAGCUCAGUCUACAGCUUCGGCUUGUCCAUUAGCUCCUGUAACUUAACCCAUUUAUAUUAAUCUAUGUGCUUCCGCAUGGCUCCUGGCUUUUGCCUCUCCUCCUGCACAUCCUGCUUCCUCUGCAUCCGGCUGGUGACUCCGCCUUUUUUCUUCUCAGAGCUCUCUCUGUUCCCAGAAGUCCUGCCUAACCUUCUCCUGCCUAGCUAUUGACCAUUCAGGCCUUUAUUAAACCAAUCACAAUGACAAAUCUUCACACAGUGUAAAAGAAUAUUCUUUCUGGGCAGUGGUGGUACCUGCCUUUAAUCCCAGCACUAAGGAGGCAGAGGCAGGUAGAUCUCUAUGAGUUCCAGGACAGCCAGGUUUAUGUAGAGCAUUCCAGGUUAGCCAGAGUUACAAAGUGAAACCUUAUCUCAUAAACAAUUUUUUAUUAUUUUUUUUAUGUGUGUGGCAUUUUGUGUGUGUGCCAGUGUGAGUGUUUGUGUGUGGGGGGGUCAGAGGACAACUUGUGUUUUAUCCUUCCAUCAUGUGGGUUCUAGGCAUGGAACUCAGGUCUCAGAGGCAAAUGACCUUACCCACUGAACGAGCUUGUGGUUUUUUUGUUUUUUGUUUUUUGUUUUGUUUUUUUGGUUUUUCGAGACAGGGUUUCUCUGUGGCUUUGGAGGCUGUCCUGGAACUCGCUCGUUAGACCAGGCUGGCCUCGAACUCACAGAGAUCCGCCUGCCUCUGCCUCCCUAGUGCUGGGAUUAAAGGCGUGCGCCACCAACGCCAGGCUCGAGCUUGUGUGUUUGAGACUAGCUAAGUGCUUGUCUAGCAGUACAGUCCCUCCGUUAGAUCCUCAGCCGAAUAAAACUGGGCAUGGUGUACACACUCCUAGUCCAAGGGCACCUUCAGCCGCAGAGUGCAGGAGGCCCUGCUGAAACAGAGCAGAGAAUGGAAGGGAGAGAAGGGGGGAGGGUGUGCCCACCUGCCCCCUCUUGGGUGCUUGCAGAAAAAACAAAGGUCACAGCAUAGAGUAUCAUUUAACAAUAGUCCCAUAGCUUGUCCAGGCAUUGGUUUCACAGUGUUGAGGAUAAGAAAAUUCAGACUUCCUGGAGCUUUUUACAAAAAGAACCAAAGAAGGCAGGGACCAGAUUGGAAGCUGCUGGGGAUAUUUCUGGCAUCUGUUGACGAGGAUGAGGGGCUCCAAUUCCAAGGGCAUGACGACAGGGUCAACCCCAUCUCUUCUCCCUGUUCUUGGCAACAGUCAGUCAAGCCAGAAAGAGCAAUCUGUCAAAUCUAAUUAGAGGAGAAGAAAGUGAACAAUGGAUGCCCAGCUUUUAACUGACAGCCCUGUUUAAUGAGGUGGAGGAGCUCAGGGGAGGAUGUGUGUCUCCUGUGCUUGGAAAUGGGUCCUUCAGAUCAAUUCUUCCCUUCACUCAAAGUGUAAAACAUCUCUAACUGGAUUCUUACUUACUUCACCCGAAAUCUCCAGGUGUCUUCGCUUUUUUAAAUUCAUGCUCACCCAGCAAAGGCAGAAGAGAACGUGGGUCUGUUUCAAAGGCUAAUAUUCUCCAGCCUGGUCCCAUGCCCGGAGAGGCACUCUCAUCCACAGUUCUCCUUCGGCGGCCGGUGGUCAAGGGUGCGUCUUUGUUUCGUGUGACUCUUGGAAGCAGAAAUGGUUCCACGCUGUAGUUUCUGUUUGACUUGCUGCUCUUCCGUGCCUCCUGGAGCUCCUUUCACCGGGAUGUUUGCAUCUCAUUCCUUUCAGCCGACGUCCAGGGGGUCAGUGGCCACCGUCACUUGUUUUUACUCAGCCUCACGCCUGCGCUCCUGAAACAACCCCAUGGCACAAGUCAACACCUAGCUGGGUUUGUAUUCACAGGGCAGGUUGAAACAGGCAUCGGCUUUAUGGCUGACUGGAGUGUUACUAACAACAUAUAAGAACUGAGGAAAAGUAGCUGGGGGCCCAUCUCGGCACCCUAAGUCCCAGACACUGUGUUCUCAGUGAAUUCGUUAUCCGUCUGCCUCCCAAUAGUUAACCCACCACUCUACAGUCAUUUAUUCCUUAUAUGUGAGAUGUUAGUAGUAGACUCUCAGUGGUGUUGUGAAGACUAGGUGAAAGAGCACAGGAAAAGAUCGGCCAGCGGGUGGACCGAGUUACACUCGCACUUCCCUCGAGAUGGUCUUUCAGAUGAAGUGCUUCAGGUGUAGCUCAAAGAAGGGUGGUUGCUGAAUGGGGCGGUGGGUGUGACUAGCAGCCCAGAAGCCCUAGAACCUUGGGGUUACUGGUGGUGCACACCAGUAACCCCAAGCCCUUGGGAGACUGAAGAAGCCAGCUUGUCCUGUCUAAAAUAAACAAAACACAGCAGCAAGCAACAAAACAAAAACCGGCAACAACAACAAACUGAAUUGAAGGCCCUGCGGAGUGGCAGCUGGGUGACUGUUGAUUGGGGGACUAUUGUAACUUGCUCAAUGUUAGUCACAUACAAAAUAAGGGUAGCAGUCAUGUGUAGCCUCUUCCAAGUGCCACCUCAUUCAGUCCUCACAGCUGUACCCUGUGAAGUGGACAGGGUUUGUAAAUGAGAGAAUAAAGGAAUGGAAAGUACUUGGUAUAUUUUUGGUAUAAAUGAUGUAUGUGGUGUUACACUAUGCAGACAGUAUGAUCUGAACUCAGAAUUUAGAGUACCGUCACCAUCCCUUGAAUGCUUUUGUUAGUUGCUUUAUUUCAAGUAGCUGAGGCUGUCUUUGAACUCCUUAUCCUCCUACUUCAGAGUGCUGUGAAUAUAAGUGUGUGCCAUCACACCUGGUUAAUGCAUUUUUUUUUUUUUUGCAAAGCAUGAAUUCCCUGGAUGCCUACUGCCUGUCUAAUGCCCUGCUGUAUAUGUGCAAAAUAUAAAGUGCAAAAUGGAGAUCUUAUCCUCAAAAUUAUGAUUUUGAUUUUUAAAUUGAAGUUCUCUGAAAUAUAAGGUAGCAUAUUUGGGGUAUUUUGAACCCCACAGUUGAAAUCUCUGCUAGAGACCCACUGUAGAGGUAACUGAUGUCAGCCAACACGGGCAGGAUUAUGAACAUUCACGCCCAGUAUCUGUUUAAAUUUUCUUUUAACUACAAAGGUAAAUACAAGCCGGUGACAUCUGCUCCCUGUUCUGGGUGGGUCUCACAGGUGAAAGAGGCCUUUGCAGGGUCUCUCCUGGGCUAACCAGGCUGGUCACAGGGGCUGCCUGAGGCUGGGGCAGCUGUGCCACUGUGACUUAAGCUCCUCCAGCAGCAUGCGAAUUUCCUUUUGUUCUGAACACAAUGCAAGCAGAUAUUUAGCAGGCAGAGGAAAUCCAGGAAGAAUUCUGUUAAGGAGCCGAACUAUUCAUGCAAAGAGCCUGAUUUGGGGAUAAUAUUCAGGAAAUAAACCUGUAUUGCUUCUAAGUCAUCUGCUUAUUCCUCUCAUCCCAGAGAUCUCUCUCUCUCUCUAACUCACAGAGCCUGUUUUCUGGGUGUUUGGGAACACAUUCCAGCCAGCCCCAAACUGAAAUUCCAAUUCGACAAAAAAAAAAAAAAAAAAAAAAAACACUCCAGCUGUCAAGAGCUGAAGAAGCCACAUGUGAAUUUUGGUCUGGGAAUCAGUCAGGCCGCAGAUGGGCUGGGAGUCUGGGGAAUGUGAUGACUCUAAUUCAGGAGGCCUGCGCCAGCCCCUUUGCCUCAAUUCCAGGCUUAGCUCAGAGAGAAGCAAUUCAGAAUGCUUUUCUUUUAAAGGGACAGUGUUAAAUUUUUCAUUUUGUUUUGUCUUUUGGUUUUGUGUGUCAUUUAUUUGAGGUACUAGAACUUGGAACCUGGUGCUGCAUAGCAAGCCCCUCCCUGCCUUUAUUCCUAGACAGGGUUUCUCUGUGCAGCCCUGGCUGUCCUGGAACUGGCUCUGUAGACCGGGCUGGCCUCAGACUCAGAGAUCCACCUGCCUCUACCUCCCCAAUGCUGGGACUCAACGUGUGCACCACCACCGCCCGGCUGGGAGACAGUUCUGUAUUUGAGUCUGGGUCAGGGAUGGCGGGGCUGUAAGAUUUCCCAUCUUGAGACUGAUGCAGCAACAAUAAAGGACCAAGAGGGGGAAAUCCCUGGCCUGACUGGAGACCUAACGUUUCUGUCGGGUGAGCCAGUGGCCUGGCUCCAGAACCACCUCUGGGAAGGCAGAUCACCUGAAUAACUAAUUAUCCCUUUAGUGAGACAGUGUGCCUUUCCUUCCCAGGGUCCCCACCCCAGCAUGGUAGUCUGCAGGGCUGCACCCAUGCAGUUUCAUGAGCUUGAAUGAACACUCUACCACUCAGCGUGUGGUAAUGGCAGGCCCUGCCCUUCUCCCCAUUUCCCUCUGCCUUGCUAAAAACCAUUAGGUUGCAUUCCUAAAGCUAGCAGGGUUUAUUUGUUCCCUUAUUUGACCUGUCCCUCCCCCUGAGGCUGACUACCAAGGUCCAGCUAUCAAAGUAUUAAAGUCCAGCAAUCAAGAGACUGAUUUGGCUCACCUAAUUAACAUGCCAAAUUAAAAUUAAACACCUCAUCCUAACACAGGGGUAUCCCUUCCUUUAUAAACCGUCAUUUUCCUAGGAGCCAUGCCUGUUUCCUCUCUAUUCAGUGGCAGUCCUUAGUCUCCCUCCAGGACAAAUACCCUCACCCUUUCCAUGGUUCCUUUCUUUCUUUCAUUCUUUUUUUUUCUUUCAGAGUUUUACUUGCUGCAGUGCCCCAGCCCUGCAAACUGCUGCACUAGGGAGAUUUUUAAAGAACCACUAAAUUACGGCAUCUGUCUCUUUAUUGCGGCCUAAGGUGGGGUCUAUCUGGGAUGUUAGGCCUCCACCUAGGCCAGAGAUUUCACCAUUAUUUUUUUACUCUGACACCCAUAUCAUACACAAACAAUAACAAUAAACAAAAUUCAAAAGAAAUUAAAAAUCCCCGUUUCAAAAAAGAAAGUAAUUGGGUGGUGUAGGAUCCCCACCCAUUCUGCAGCUGGCAGAGCUCUUCCUUGUGUGACAGGUUUUCUCUGAGGUUUAGGCUCGGGCACUCCUGCUCAACGCAGUGACUUUGCAAAUGAGAAAAGGCGAGGGUGUCAUGACUGCAGGACGCCUUUCUCUCCCAAGGCAGCUUCGUGUUAGGACUGCCUCUUCCUGAAGGGAUUUUCUGUGUAGCCCUGACUGUCCUGGAACUCGAUCUGUAGACCAGCAGGCUGGCAUGGAACUCGCUCAGUAGAUCAGGCUGGCAUGGAAGAGACUCUACUCAACAACAAAGAAAAGGCAGCGCCCCUCCCCCUCUCAGAGAAGGGCUCCGCUUUGUGUGAGCCGACUUCCUCUGGGGACUCCUCCAGGGAGUCUCAAGCCUGGUCCCUGCCUUAGUUUAGUAACCCUUGGUUCAGUAGUCCAGGGUCAAGCCGGGAGAUGUGUGCCUGCAUUGUAUCCAAGUUUUCAGCUACUCUGUUCUUGUAUCUACUCCCUGAAGGACACUUACAAUGGAGUGACAGGGAGGCAUCCCUCCUUCCCCUCUGCAGAUAAACAAAUGUCAAACAGCUUCCUGGGUCUGCACUAUUCACUAAAAGUUACUAAAUAUCCCCCUUUGUCCUCCAAACAAAGAGCUCCUGGUAUUCUUCUGGUUGGAUUCGGAUUGCCGCAGCCCAGACGCUCACCUACCGGGCGGACUAACCAAACCUUCUUUCUCUUGCUGUUGGGUUCCUAACGAGUUUUCUGGCACUCCUGUUGUGAACGAGAGACUAUAAUGAAUGCUUCCCAAUGUUAAGGGAAACACAACCUUCAUUCAAACAGGGAACCUGCAAACAGCGUCAUUCCUUUUAUUUCUCCCUUUUAUCUAUUUAUUAUUAUUUUGCUUUGUUUUCUGAGACAGGGUUUCUCUGUGGCUUUGGAGGCUGUCCUGGAACUACUUCUUGUAGACCAGGAUGGUUAUUUCUCCCUUUUAAAUGGGCUUCUUUCCUUUUAUUAAAUUUGUUCUUUAACCGUUUCAAACAUCUGGGCAUGGUAGCACAUGCCUUUGAUCCCAGCACUCCGGAGGCAGAGACAGAUGGAUAAAUCUGUGUGAAUUCAACCCCAGCCUGCUCUCCACAUUGAGUUCCAAGCCAGCCAGUGUUACUGGAUGAAACCCUGUCUCAAACAAAACCAGUGCAUUCCGAUUACGGGUUAAACCCACCCUCUCUAUUUCCCUCCAGUCCCCAGAACCCCCUCCAUUCAGAUCUCAUUCUCACACUUAGGUCUUUUGGCUCUGUUUUGUGGCCCACUGAGUUAACCAGGGCUGCCUUUGUGACCACAAACCUUUGCUACUUUUCAUUGGAGCGUGGUGGACUGCUUGGCUACACUACUAAAGACAAUGCCUGCCCCUCCCCCAGACUGCAUCUGUGGCUCAGAGUUCAGCAGGGAAGUAUGGCCUCAAGGGCCUUCCGGAUCUCGGAUGUUUUUCUGACAGCCCUGGUCAGCUGCAUAAUUUCAGCCUUCUCCAUGCCUGGCUUGCACAAGACCUCGAGAAAAUUCAGCUGUGCUGCCAUCUGCUGGACGUUUGGAGACGCCACAAGAGCCUGCAGGUUGAAUAAGGUGUCUAGGUGGGCAGUGAAGACCUAGCUUUUCACCCAGAAAAUAGCAUCAAGACAGUAUUCACAUGCAGUUUGCUCAUCCAAAAACAAGCAAACCCACUGGCCCUUUGGGAGAAAAUAGUGUCUGUGUUGAAAAGCACUCGGAUCUGAAUGCUCUGGGAUUGGUGAUCACAGGAAAGUCCAGGGCUACAGUAUGGAAAGAGGCAGAAUUCUCUUCAUUACACACAUCCAUGUUGGGCACCCACUGAAAACAAAAACCUUAUUUUUCAUCACUGCACGCAGGGGGCUAUCAGCACAGAAGUUACAGCACCCUUAUUCUCCUGCACAGACUGAUUUUGCUGAAUGGAAAAAAUGUAAAGGAGUGGCAGAAAUAACAUCAGUCUGGGAGCUGGAAGGUGUUCAGAUGUAGCCUUGGUGGGGUUUGAGUUUGUUUUCCAACCUCUCCAGUCAGUUCUAAUUCACUUGAAGAUUUUUCUAUUUAGGAGCCACAGACCCUUUUCACACCAGGGCCUAAACACAUUUGCAAACACAUUUAUAGUUGUGCUUUCAAAUAAAUAAUGUUUAUUCGAAGUCCGUUCAACAUUGUUGCAAUUCCUCUACAAUGCCCAUUCAGAAGCCUCUUGGGGAACUGGCCAGCGGCAGAAUGAAGGUCAGAGUAGGACUGGCCCACCCACCUGGGAAAAUCCGUUCAACUGCAGAAGCCUUAGUAAUGGAAACACAUUAACAAAACAUAGCUCUGACCUCAAGGAGCCUCAUGGAUACUUUUAACAAAACGAGUUUCUGUAUUCUGGAAUGAGCUCUUACUGGUUUUCCUGGAAGAGAUGAAAUGACUUGAUCAACGUGUGGCCUUCUGGAGGCUGGCUGAUUACAAAACCCUUGGGGUCCAUGUCAGGUGACUUCCAUAGUCAAUCAGUGUGUUCUAAGGGCAUCCUACAUUUCUUCAACAACUAAGUCCUCGAGGGGGAGACUGUCUGGUCCUACUGCUAAAAGCCUUAGCUUUCUCCAGGGGUGCUUGGAGAAGACACUUCAGCAACCAAGAAAACAGAAUGAGAAAUAAAUAACAGUCCCUUAAUAGCAAGUCCUAGAUGGACUGUGUGUCAGAAAAUGAAAAAGUCGAGUGUGGUUUUGUUGAUUUGUUUGUAUUUUAAAACUUUCUGUGUAGAUCAGGGUAACCUCAGACUUGGAGCAACAUUGCUUCAUCUUCAUAUAUAUAUAUGAUAUAUAUAUCAUACAUAUGCACACAUCUUGUCUAACCAUAUAAAUUAUGCACUGAUA
Molecule: long non-coding RNA, 8096 nt
Organism: Mesocricetus auratus (golden hamster)
Lineage: Eukaryota; Metazoa; Chordata; Mammalia; Rodentia; Cricetidae
Exons: 4
Source: RefSeq, a predicted model, not a curated record